This 1671-nucleotide ribosomal RNA is filed under the name Escherichia coli KTE170. RNAcentral's name for it is "bacterial LSU rRNA". It matches the Rfam family "Bacterial large subunit ribosomal RNA", at positions 1276 to 2925 of the family's 2925-position model. The record is from RNAcentral. Lineage: Bacteria; Pseudomonadati; Pseudomonadota; Gammaproteobacteria; Enterobacterales; Enterobacteriaceae.
GAGGUAUCAGAAGUGCGAAUGCUGACAUAAGUAACGAUAAAGCGGGUGAAAAGCCCGCUCGCCGGAAGACCAAGGGUUCCUGUCCAACGUUAAUCGGGGCAGGGUGAGUCGACCCCUAAGGCGAGGCCGAAAGGCGUAGUCGAUGGGAAACAGGUUAAUAUUCCUGUACUUGGUGUUACUGCGAAGGGGGGACGGAGAAGGCUAUGUUGGCCGGGCGACGGUUGUCCCGGUUUAAGCGUGUAGGCUGGUUUUCCAGGCAAAUCCGGAAAAUCAAGGCUGAGGCGUGAUGACGAGGCACUACGGUGCUGAAGCAACAAAUGCCCUGCUUCCAGGAAAAGCCUCUAAGCAUCAGGUAACAUCAAAUCGUACCCCAAACCGACACAGGUGGUCAGGUAGAGAAUACCAAGGCGCUUGAGAGAACUCGGGUGAAGGAACUAGGCAAAAUGGUGCCGUAACUUCGGGAGAAGGCACGCUGAUAUGUAGGUGAAGUCCCUUGCGGAUGGAGCUGAAAUCAGUCGAAGAUACCAGCUGGCUGCAACUGUUUAUUAAAAACACAGCACUGUGCAAACACGAAAGUGGACGUAUACGGUGUGACGCCUGCCCGGUGCCGGAAGGUUAAUUGAUGGGGUUAGCGGUAACGCGAAGCUCUUGAUCGAAGCCCCGGUAAACGGCGGCCGUAACUAUAACGGUCCUAAGGUAGCGAAAUUCCUUGUCGGGUAAGUUCCGACCUGCACGAAUGGCGUAAUGAUGGCCAGGCUGUCUCCACCCGAGACUCAGUGAAAUUGAACUCGCUGUGAAGAUGCAGUGUACCCGCGGCAAGACGGAAAGACCCCGUGAACCUUUACUAUAGCUUGACACUGAACAUUGAGCCUUGAUGUGUAGGAUAGGUGGGAGGCUUUGAAGUGUGGACGCCAGUCUGCAUGGAGCCGACCUUGAAAUACCACCCUUUAAUGUUUGAUGUUCUAACGUUGGCCCCUGAUCGGGGUUGCGGACAGUGUCUGGUGGGUAGUUUGACUGGGGCGGUCUCCUCCUAAAGAGUAACGGAGGAGCACGAAGGUUGGCUAAUCCUGGUCGGACAUCAGGAGGUUAGUGCAAUGGCAUAAGCCAGCUUGACUGCGAGCGUGACGGCGCGAGCAGGUGCGAAAGCAGGUCAUAGUGAUCCGGUGGUUCUGAAUGGAAGGGCCAUCGCUCAACGGAUAAAAGGUACUCCGGGGAUAACAGGCUGAUACCGCCCAAGAGUUCAUAUCGACGGCGGUGUUUGGCACCUCGAUGUCGGCUCAUCACAUCCUGGGGCUGAAGUAGGUCCCAAGGGUAUGGCUGUUCGCCAUUUAAAGUGGUACGCGAGCUGGGUUUAGAACGUCGUGAGACAGUUCGGUCCCUAUCUGCCGUGGGCGCUGGAGAACUGAGGGGGGCUGCUCCUAGUACGAGAGGACCGGAGUGGACGCAUCACUGGUGUUCGGGUUGUCAUGCCAAUGGCACUGCCCGGUAGCUAAAUGCGGAAGAGAUAAGUGCUGAAAGCAUCUAAGCACGAAACUUGCCCCGAGAUGAGUUCUCCCUGACUCCCUGAGAGUCCUGAAGGAACGUUGAAGACGACGACGUUGAUAGGCCGGGUGUGUAAGCGCAGCGAUGCGUUGAGCUAACCGGUACUAAUGAACCGUGAGGCUUAACCUU